AUGUACAUGUGGAGACUCUGGAGUAUUUACUCUGCAGUGCCUUUUUUUGUUGAAAGAAGUUGGUCUUGAAUUCUGUAAUAGAUGAAGGCUUCUAUAAACAGUAUGCUUGUUACCUUGUCCUUCUUCUCUUCCGUCUCAUCAAAUCCUGGUAGGCACUGUCACAGAGGGCAAACAAUCUUCCGAACAUUCUGCUUCCAGAACAAGAGUCCUAAAGAGAAGAUGACAUAUUUAUUCCGGUCCAGGUUUAUAUAAGGCUAUUUAUUAAUUGAUUUUUCUUCUUCUAACGUUACUCUGGUAUAACGUUAGCGCUGCAUAUUAUGACCGUUCUAAAAGCUUGGCUUUUAUUUUGAUAGGCCAUAUUUACUAUUACUUCCGGGUCACGUGGCCAACCUGUCUGUAUUUCAAUGUAGAUCUUCAAACGAAAAAAUGGAAAAAGGAAUUUCAAAAAACCAAAAUCGGACCGUUAUUUGAUUUUGGUUUUGUCAUUUUUCGUUUUUGGAUUCAGAACCAAAAACGGGAGAACGGCUCUUUUUUUUUACCGUUUCUUUGUUUUUGGUUUGAAACGACAAACGAAAAACAGGUGGUUUCUCGUUAUUUUGUUUUGUGUUUCAAACGAAAAAACAAACUAUCAAAACGUACACGGACCUACCUGACGUUGUUUCAGCGUUGAAAUGCCGGCGGGGGAGGAACAUUUUCCCGGGAUCUGGAAAACGUCCUCAUGAAUGAAAGUGAAAGUAAUGACCAGAGUUGAUGCGGACAUUUUAAACAGACAGAAUCGAUGAUCUACAAUACAUUAUAUCUUUAAAUCUUUAAUAGAAUCGCUAAUAAACGCUAAAUCGGGAGUUUGUGUGGAGUUACCGGAUGGGAAUGUGAAUCGAGUCAGUGGAGAUCAAACUGUUCAGAUCCAUCAUGGAUGAAACACAAACUUCUGGAGAUGAAGAUUUGUUUCCAGCACACAGUUCAGUUCAUCAGAAGAGAUCAGAAGCAGAGUUCAGCUGUGUGUCUGUGAAGACUGACUGGUCUAUGGAUCCGCCAAUGAAGUUUAAGAGUGGAGAUACACGGCCUGAUCUCAGCUCAGUUCAUCAGAAGAGAUCAGAAGCAGAGUUCAGCUGUGUGUCUGUGAAGAGUGACUGGUCUAUGGAUCCACCAAUGAAGUUUAAGAGUGGAGAUACACGGCCUGAUCUCAGGUAUAACGUUUGUAUGAAAAUAUGAUUAUAACAUGACUUUUAAUAUUGGCAUGUAUUAUGUUCACAGUUAUGGUCACAGUUUUUGUACAAAUAAUAUAUGAGUGAGUAUAAAGCGGGGUUUAUGUAAAUUUCGGGAAGUAACUUCUUGUAGUCCCUACCAGCCGUUUUUGUAGGCAUUAAAUGGCAUAAUUUUAAAAGAUAUCUCCGUUUGCAUUGAAUUUUCAGUGUCGUAACUUUGCAGAUAUUUUUUAUGCUCAAACAGCAACAUUACACACUAACCAACAUUAAAAAAGUGAAAUCGCAGUCAACCCCCCCCAGCCCCCCC
Long non-coding RNA from Cyprinus carpio (common carp), 1512 nucleotides. The record is from Ensembl. NCBI's taxonomy places the organism in Eukaryota, Metazoa, Chordata, Actinopteri, Cypriniformes, Cyprinidae.